RNAcentral lists this unclassified non-coding RNA (25 nucleotides) under Severe acute respiratory syndrome coronavirus 2. RNAcentral's name for it is "RNA (25-MER) from Severe acute respiratory syndrome coronavirus 2 (PDB 8GW1, chain I)". The record is from RNAcentral. Lineage: Riboviria; Orthornavirae; Pisuviricota; Pisoniviricetes; Nidovirales; Coronaviridae. RNAcentral also lists the same sequence under 1 other name.
GCGGUAGUAGCAUGCUAGGGAGCAG